RNAcentral lists this ribosomal RNA (484 nucleotides) under uncultured bacterium. RNAcentral's name for it is "partial 16S ribosomal RNA". It matches the Rfam family "Bacterial small subunit ribosomal RNA", at positions 30 to 507 of the family's 1533-position model. The record is from RNAcentral.
AUUGAACGCUGGCGGCAGGCCUAACACAUGCAAGUCGAGCGGAUGAAGCGGGCUUGCUCCUGGAUUCAGCGGCGGACGGGUGAGUAAUGCCUAGGAAUCUGCCUGGUAGUGGGGGAUAACGUCCGGAAACGGGCGCUAAUACCGCAUACGUCCUGAGGGAGAAAGUGGGGGAUCUUCGGACCUCACGCUAUCAGAUGAGCCUAGGUCGGAUUACCUAGCUGGUGGGGUAAAGGCCUACCAAGGCGACGAUCCGUACCUGGUCUGAGAGGGUGAUUAGUCACACUGGAACUGAGACACGGUCCCGACUCCUACGGGAGGAAGCAGUGGGGAAUAUUGGACAAUGGGCGAAAGCCUGAUCCAGCCAUGCCGCGUGUGUGAAGAAGGUCUUCGGAUUGUAAAGCACUUUAAGUUGGGAGGAAGGGCAGUAAGUUAAUACCUUGCUGUUUUGACGUUACCAACAGAAUAAGCACCGGCUAACUUCGUG